CAGCAGCCGCGGUAAGACGAACCGUGCGAACGUUAUUCGGAAUCAUUGGGCUUAAAGCGCGUGUAGGCGGAUGGGAACGUCGGUCGCUGAAAUACCCCGGCUCAACCGGGGAACUGGCAUCGAAACGACCCGUCUCGAGGGGCAUAGGGGGAGCUGGAACUUCCGGUGGAGCGGUGAAAUGGGUUGAGAUCGGAAGGAACGCCCGUGGCGAAAGCGAGCUCCUGGAUGUCUUCUGACGCUGAGACGCGAAAGCUAGGGGAGCGAACGGGAUUAGAUACCCCAGUAGUCCCUGUCUCUUAUA
RNAcentral lists this ribosomal RNA (301 nucleotides) under uncultured bacterium. RNAcentral's name for it is "partial 16S ribosomal RNA". It matches the Rfam family "Bacterial small subunit ribosomal RNA", at positions 509 to 808 of the family's 1533-position model. The record is from RNAcentral.